GACGAACGCUGGCGGCGUGCUUAACACAUGCAAGUCGAACGGAAAGGCCUCUUUCGGGGGGUACUCGAGUGGCGAACGGGUGAGUAACACGUGAGUAACCUGCCCUUGACUUUGGGAUAACUUCAGGAAACUGGGGCUAAUACCGGAUAGGAGCUCCUGCUGCAUGGUGGGGGUUGGAAAGUUUCGGCGGUUGGGGAUGGACUCGCGGCUUAUCAGCUUGUUGGUGGGGUAGUGGCUUACCAAGGCUUUGACGGGUAGCCGGCCUGAGAGGGUGACCGGCCACAUUGGGACUGAGAUACGGCCCAGACUCCUACGGGAGGCAGCAGUGGGGAAUAGUGCACAAUGGGUGGAAGCCUGAUGCAGCAACGCCGUGUGCGGGAGGACGGCCUUCGGGUUGUAAACCGCUUUCGCUCAUGACGAAGCUUUGUGUGACGGUAGUGGGUAAAGAAGCACCGGCUAACUACGUG
RNAcentral lists this ribosomal RNA (467 nucleotides) under uncultured bacterium. RNAcentral describes it as "partial 16S ribosomal RNA". It matches the Rfam family "Bacterial small subunit ribosomal RNA", at positions 28 to 507 of the family's 1533-position model. The record is from RNAcentral.